This 902-nucleotide ribosomal RNA is filed under the name Bacillus cereus. RNAcentral describes it as "bacterial SSU rRNA". It matches the Rfam family "Bacterial small subunit ribosomal RNA", at positions 60 to 941 of the family's 1533-position model. The record is from RNAcentral. Lineage: Bacteria; Bacillati; Bacillota; Bacilli; Caryophanales; Bacillaceae.
AGUCGAGCGAAUGGAUUAAGAGCUUGCUCUUAUGAAGUUAGCGGCGGACGGGUGAGUAACACGUGGGUAACCUGCCCAUAAGACUGGGAUAACUCCGGGAAACCGGGGCUAAUACCGGAUAACAUUUUGAACCGCAUGGUUCGAAAUUGAAAGGCGGCUUCGGCUGUCACUUAUGGAUGGACCCGCGUCGCAUUAGCUAGUUGGUGAGGUAACGGCUCACCAAGGCAACGAUGCGUAGCCGACCUGAGAGGGUGAUCGGCCACACUGGGACUGAGACACGGCCCAGACUCCUACGGGAGGCAGCAGUAGGGAAUCUUCCGCAAUGGACGAAAGUCUGACGGAGCAACGCCGCGUGAGUGAUGAAGGCUUUCGGGUCGUAAAACUCUGUUGUUAGGGAAGAACAAGUGCUAGUUGAAUAAGCUGGCACCUUGACGGUACCUAACCAGAAAGCCACGGCUAACUACGUGCCAGCAGCCGCGGUAAUACGUAGGUGGCAAGCGUUAUCCGGAAUUAUUGGGCGUAAAGCGCGCGCAGGUGGUUUCUUAAGUCUGAUGUGAAAGCCCACGGCUCAACCGUGGAGGGUCAUUGGAAACUGGGAGACUUGAGUGCAGAAGAGGAAAGUGGAAUUCCAUGUGUAGCGGUGAAAUGCGUAGAGAUAUGGAGGAACACCAGUGGCGAAGGCGACUUUCUGGUCUGUAACUGACACUGAGGCGCGAAAGCGUGGGGGAGCAAACAGGAUUAGAUACCCUGGUAGUCCACGCCGUAACGAUGAGUGCUAAGUGUUAGAGGGUUUCCGCCCUUUAGUGCUGAAGUUAACGCAUUAAGCACUCCGCCUGGGGAGUACGGCCGCAAGGCUGAAACUCAAAGGAAUUGACGGGGGCCCGCACAAGCGGUGGAGCAUG